RNAcentral lists this ribosomal RNA (301 nucleotides) under uncultured bacterium. RNAcentral's name for it is "partial 16S ribosomal RNA". It matches the Rfam family "Bacterial small subunit ribosomal RNA", at positions 509 to 807 of the family's 1533-position model. The record is from RNAcentral.
CAGUCGCCACGGUAAUACGUAGGGUGCAAGCGUUAAUCGGAAUUACUGGGCGUAAAGCGUGCGCAGGCGGUUAUAUAAGUCAGAUGUGAAAUCCCCGGGCUCAACCUGGGAACUGCAUUUGAGACUGUACGGCUAGAGUGUGUCAGAGGGGGGUAGAACUCCACGUGUAGCAGUGAAAUGCGUAGAUAUGUGGAGGAAUACCGAUGGCGAAGGCAGCCCCCUGGGAUAACACUGACGCUCAUGCACGAAAGCGUGGGGAGCAAACAGGAUUAGAUACCCCGGUAGUCCCUGUCUCUUAUAC